UACAGAGGGGGCAAGCGUUAUUCGGAAUUAUUGGGCGUAAAGGGCGCGUAGGCGGCUUUGCAAGUGACGGGUGAAAUCCCUCGGCUUAACCGAGGAACUGCCUGUCAAACUGCAUGGCUUGAGACCGGGAGAGGUGAGUGGAAUUCCCAGUGUAGCGGUGAAAUGCGUAGAUAUUGGGAGGAACACCAAUGGCGAAGGCAGCUCUCUGGGACGGUACUGACGCUGAGACGCGAAAGCGUGGGGAGCGAACAGG
This 253-nucleotide ribosomal RNA is filed under the name uncultured bacterium. RNAcentral describes it as "partial 16S ribosomal RNA". It matches the Rfam family "Bacterial small subunit ribosomal RNA", at positions 524 to 776 of the family's 1533-position model. The record is from RNAcentral.